UCCAACACAACACAAGUUCAACAUCUACCAAUGCCUCCCAACAGCACUGCUUCAACUCCAACCAAUGGUAUUCCUGGAUCUUGCCAAGGCAUAAAUCUACAAGAUGCCAGUCGCAGCGUA
Long non-coding RNA from Poecilia latipinna (sailfin molly), 120 nucleotides. RefSeq lists it as uncharacterized. The transcript is spliced from 3 exons. The record is from RefSeq and is a predicted model, not a curated record. NCBI's taxonomy places the organism in Eukaryota, Metazoa, Chordata, Actinopteri, Cyprinodontiformes, Poeciliidae.